RNAcentral lists this transfer RNA (63 nucleotides) under Mogannia minuta. RNAcentral describes it as "tRNA-Ala". The record is from RNAcentral. Lineage: Eukaryota; Metazoa; Arthropoda; Insecta; Hemiptera; Cicadidae.
AGGAAUGUAUUUAAUUAUAAUAAUUGAUCUGCAAUCAAUAGGUGUUGAGUAAAACCAUUCUUA